This 68-nucleotide transfer RNA is filed under the name Megalodontes cephalotes. RNAcentral describes it as "tRNA-Thr". The record is from RNAcentral. Lineage: Eukaryota; Metazoa; Arthropoda; Insecta; Hymenoptera; Megalodontesidae.
GUUUUAGUAAAUUGACAUAAAAAUAUUGAUUUUGUAAAUCAAAUUUAAGAAAAAUUUCUUUUGAAACU